CUUGUGUUUUGGACUAUAAAUAUCCUUCCUCCUUUCCCCAUUUCUUUCAUUGUACUUUGCCUUUGGUUUUGUGACCCAAGUUCUGUCAAGAGGCAGAGCCUCUGCUUCUCCUCUGUUUCUCUACAGAGGACUUCUGAGUUCCACCACUCACAAAUCCUUCUUCUGAUUUUCUAAUCUCAUUUCUCUCUCGUAAUUCUCUUCAAAUUAUUUCUGCUUCUGCUUCUCCAUUCUCUCUCUAAAUUUCUAUAAAAUCUCCUCCCUCUGUGAUCCAAAUUCCAUCUUUACUUCCCUUUACUUUGUCUUCUCUGUGCUUUCCUUGUCAUCGUAACACGCGUAGCGCAACCAUGGAAACCACUUCUUCGACACCCCAAAAGAACAAAACCAUAACCUUUCCUGCGAUUCCGAGGAGAGGCCAGAUCAAGCUUCAGAUUUUUGGAAACAUGGUCAAAGCUGUGUCCAACAUGACCUCCAAACCCGGAGCUCAGGGGAAAAACAGAGGAGAAGGCGGCGGAUACUCAGCCUCCACAACCCCAUCACUAAGCGCCUAUAACUCUGAUGCCAAUUCCGACAUCUGAUAGACCUGACCAGGUGGGAAGAUGGGUUAUGCAGCUCAACUCUGAACCUCUCCGGUUCGUGCUCCGAAUCAUUUCGUAAUCCCACUUCUCUAUGAAGCUAUGAAGCUUCUGCUAUGUUGUUUGAAUAUAAAGUUUUUCGUUUCUGUUUUUGGGCUUUUAGGGUUUCUAGAAAUCAAACAUGGGUCAUGUGUUGAAUUAUGUUCCUGCAGAACUCAUAUUUUUGGAGAGUUUUUCAGGAUCAUAACCCAUCUUAGCUUUUAUCUUGUAUUUCAAUUUCUUCAUAAUUUAGUCGUGUGGAGGCAAAAGAAAAGGAGAAAAAAAAGAGCUUCUUUCCAGGGUUGUUUCUGCGAGUUUUAGAGAGGAGACAUAUUUGGAAGAGGCAGUUUGUGCAUAUAAAGGGUAUUUUUCUGUCUUUGUAUUUGCUUUAUUGCGUAAUUGUUGUAUGAUAAAGUGGUUUAAAUAUUAUUUGGAUUUUGUAUUUUAUUUUUGGUAUACUUUGAUUAAAUAUAGAAAGUGGUUUUCGCACACUAAUUUUCUCCUUGUGAUGUUUGCGUUUCUUUCUUCAUUUUUUUACCUUGAUUCUCCUUUUAAUUCAAUCUAAAAAUCAUACUAAAGGAAAGAAGUGCGAAAAAUGGUGUAUGAUAAACCACUCAAUGAAAUUAGUCUCCUUAACCCUUAACUCCAUCCGAAGUUUUUUCUCACCGUUUUUCAUCUUCUGCACAUUCACUCUUAAUUUGGUGUUUAAUCUCAUUUAAUUUAUUAAGACCAAUAUCUAAAAAAAAAAGAUAUGUGAGGAAAGUGAAAACGUGAUCAAAAUCUCUUCUUUCUUCCAUAAUAUUUCUCAUGUGGCUCCAAAUGUUUCCAUUUACAUGUUCUUCGAUGCAUUUUGGUAAUCUGCUUCUUAAUAUGUUUAAUUCAGCAUAGUUGAAGCAUAAAUCUCCCCAUUUUAUAGAGGUGCACGGAAACCUUUUUAGGAAAAAAUAUGAUUUUUAUAAGUCAAUUUCACCCAAAUUCCAAGUUAUUUAAAAUUUUGAAAAAUAAAUGGUUGGACUUUUUCCAUGUUUUUUGGUUUGGUUGAUCCUUAGAUGUUCAGAUGCGUUUCUAAUUUUUGUUUCUUUUCUAGUAUUGUAUAUUGUAUGGCAUAAUGUCUAGGUAGGGUCCGUAGGGAUCAAUAGUGUAUAAAGAAUGUUGGUUGGUAACACUUAAAAAGUUAUAUAUACAAGAUUGCUCAAGUGCUAAUAAAUUAGUAAAAUAAUAUAAUCGUACUUUACAUAUCUGAACUGACUAAUUUGUCAUUUUUGAAAAAGUUGGUAACCAAUGAAAUCACAGUAAUAAUCAAAUGACUUACAAUUUUUUAUUUGUUAAUUUCUUGCGAGGAUGACAUGUUAGCCCAUUAAUAUUAAGAAAAACUAAUGAAAAUUGUUUGAAAAUUUUGAGUUUUAAUGAUAAGGACAAAAUA
RNAcentral lists this long non-coding RNA (2034 nucleotides) under Malus domestica (apple). RNAcentral's name for it is "long non-coding RNA (MDOM_LNC010248)". Lineage: Eukaryota; Viridiplantae; Streptophyta; Magnoliopsida; Rosales; Rosaceae. The record is from RNAcentral.